This 253-nucleotide ribosomal RNA is filed under the name uncultured bacterium. RNAcentral describes it as "partial 16S ribosomal RNA". It matches the Rfam family "Bacterial small subunit ribosomal RNA", at positions 524 to 776 of the family's 1533-position model. The record is from RNAcentral.
UACGGAGAGUGCAAGCAUUAAUCGGAAUUAUUGGGCGUAAAGGGCGCGUAGGCUGAAUGAUAAGUCAGAUGUGAAAUUCCGAAGCUCAACUUCGGAGCUGCAUUUGAAACUAUCGUUCUAGAGGGUUGACGGAGAAAACGGAAUUCCACGUGUAGCGGUGAAAUGCGUAGAUAUGUGGAAGAACACCUGUGGCGAAAGCGGUUUUCUAGUUGAUACCUGACGCUGAGGCGCGAGAGCAAGGGGAGCAAACAGG